This is a long non-coding RNA of Helicoverpa zea (corn earworm), 547 nucleotides long. RefSeq lists it as uncharacterized. The record is from RefSeq and is a predicted model, not a curated record. The transcript is spliced from 3 exons. Lineage: Eukaryota; Metazoa; Arthropoda; Insecta; Lepidoptera; Noctuidae.
AGUGGAAAUAAUAUUAGAUAUUGAGUGUUAGUUAUUUAAAAGUUGGAUAUUUGUGCAUCGUUACUAAAUAUUUGCAAUAACAUGAAUACCUACGUAGGUACUUAACCUAGACAAUGACCGUGCAAUCAACAAUACUUAUUUAUUUUCAGUAUGAUUUUAGUACUAAACUGAAUGAAAAUGUGCAAUUUCAUGACAAUUUUAUGCAAUUCUACAGGUUACAGGUAGAUAGAUUUUAAACUGAGAUUUCAACUCUGCCAACGAGCUUAAAUCAACAUAAGUAGGUAAUGAUGCAGCAGUUGAAGGGAUAACAUGAUGCCUGAGCUACUUCAUAUUCAUUAGAAGACGAUGUCCACGGCAGGUAGAGCUACGAGGGAAAAUGAAGAUAACCAAUGUGAUCAUGCUUUAGAUUGUGCAGAGAUACUACCUCUAUAUUCCAGAAAUUAUAGUUGUUGCUCGGAUAGUUACUUAAAUGAUAUCCUUUUAAAAUAAUAGAUUCUUUUCAUUUGAUUGUCAAUUCUGAGCACAAUUAAAACGUUAGUUUAAAUAA